GACGAACGCUGGCGGCGUGCUUAACACAUGCAAGUCGAACGGAAAGGCCUUUUCGGAGGUACUCGAGUGGCGAACGGGUGAGUAACACGUGGGUGAUCUGCCCUGCACUCUGGGAUAAGCCUGGGAAACUGGGUCUAAUACCGGAUAGGACCGCACUUUAGUGUGUGUGGUGGAAAGUUUUUUCGGUGUAGGAUGGGCCCGCGGCCUAUCAGCUUGUUGGUGGGGUAAUGGCCUACCAAGGCGGCGACGGGUAGCCGGACUGAGAGGUUGGUCGGCCACAUUGGGGCUGGGAUACGGCCCAGACUCCUACGGGAGGCAGGAGUGGGGAAUAUUGCACCAUGGGCGCAAGCCUGAUGCAGCGACGCCGCGUGGGGGAUGACGGCCUUCGGGUUGUAAACUCCUUUCGCCAGGGACGAAGCGUUUUGUGACGGUACCUGGAGAAGAAGCACCGGCUAACUACGUG
This 463-nucleotide ribosomal RNA is filed under the name uncultured bacterium. RNAcentral's name for it is "partial 16S ribosomal RNA". It matches the Rfam family "Bacterial small subunit ribosomal RNA", at positions 28 to 507 of the family's 1533-position model. The record is from RNAcentral.